RNAcentral lists this ribosomal RNA (503 nucleotides) under uncultured bacterium. RNAcentral describes it as "partial 16S ribosomal RNA". It matches the Rfam family "Bacterial small subunit ribosomal RNA", at positions 30 to 523 of the family's 1533-position model. The record is from RNAcentral.
AUUGAACGCUGGCGGCAGGCUUAACACACGCAAGUCGAGCGGGGUGAUGGUGCUUGCACUAUCACUUAGCGGCGGACGGGUGAGUAAUGCUUAGGAAUCUGCCUAUUAGUGGGGGACAACAUCUCGAAAGGGAUGCUAAUACCGCAUACGUCCUACGGGAGAAAGCAGGGGAUCACUUGUGACCUUGCGCUAAUAGAUGAGCCUAAGUCGGAUUAGCUAGUUGGUGGGGUAAAGGCCUACCAAGGCGACGAUCUGUAGCGGGUCUGAGAGGAUGAUCCGCCACACUGGGACUGAGACACGGCCCAGACUCCUACGGGAGGCAGCAGUGGGGAAUAUUGGACAAUGGGGGGAACCCUGAUCCAGCCAUGCCGCGUGUGUGAAGAAGGCCUUAUGGUUGUAAAGCACUUUAAUCGAGGAGGAGGCUCUUUUGGUUAAUACCCAAGAUGAGUGGACGUUACUCGCAGAAUAAGCACCGGCUAACUCUGUGCCAGCAGCCGCCGUAA